Molecule: ribosomal RNA, 372 nt
Filed under: uncultured bacterium
Lineage: Bacteria
Description: bacterial SSU rRNA
Rfam family: Bacterial small subunit ribosomal RNA
Source: RNAcentral
GACCNGGUGCAAGCGUUACUCGGAAUUACUGGGCGUAAAGCGUGCGUAGGUGGUGAGUUAAGUCUGUCGUGAAAGCCCCGGGCUCAACCUGGGAAUGGCGAUGGAUACUGGCUCGCUAGAGUGCGGUAGAGGAGAGUGGAAUUCCCGGUGUAGCAGUGAAAUGCGUAGAGAUCGGGAGGAACAUCAGUUGCGAAGGCGGCUCUCUGGACCAGCACUGACACUGAGGCACGAAAGCGUGGGGAGCAAACAGGAUUAGAUACCCUGGUAGUCCACGCCCUAAACGAUGCGAACUGGACGUUGGGAGCAAUCAGGCUCUCAGUGUCGAAGCUAACGCGUUAAGUUCGCCGCCUGGGGAGUACGGUCGCAAGACUG